AAAGAGGUGGCCGCGAUGGAGCGGCAGCGGAGAAAAUGGGUCAGGAGAGGAGCGGUUACCUGGUCAUGCUGGCUCCCCGGUCCCAGCUCCCCCCGCCCCCCCUCCCUCCCCCCCCCCCCCCGCCGCCGCCCCCCGCCGCCACCUCCUCCUGCUGCUCACACUCGUCUCCGAAGGCGCCCAAUUUAAUCCAAGCUCCGCAACAGCAGCAGCUACGAGCGGAGCUGCCGGCCGCUGCUGCCGUCACGGGUGUGAGUCUCACACUCUGGCGCUGAGGAGUAGGAGAGAGUCAACGAGAGUCCGAAAAUCCAGCAUCCAGCAGAGCCAGGUCUCCGCCUGCCUCUUCUUCGAGCGCCCCCUCUCCUUUCCUCUCCUCCGCUUCGCUCUUUUUUUUUCUCCUUCUUCCUGCGGCGGUGGCUGCUGCUGCUGCUCCCGGGCGCGCUCUCUGUUCCCGAUCCGGUUCCCCUCCUCCUCCUUCUCCUCCUCCUGCUCCUCCUCCUCCUCCCCCCCCCUCUCUCCUUCUUCCUUCCCCCUUCGCCUUUUUUUCCUUUCUUUCUUCCUUCUUCUCUCUUUCAGCAGAUUAUUUGCCUACAAAUAGCAGCGAGAUCGCCCACCGAGGCUCCAACUCUACCGGCCCUCCUCCGGGAGAAGAAAAAAAAAAAAAAAAAGUGCUGUGCAAACAAAAUCAAGGGGGGGAUGGCGCGGGGCGUACAAAAAUACUGGGGAACCUUCCUCGAGAGCCACGGCACCGGCAGCCCCUCCCUGCCCGCUCGCUCCUCCGAGGGAGCACGGGGGCAGCGGGGCAAGCGGUGCGGCGAACGCGCUGCUGGAGAUGGCACUCUCUUCCUCCCACUGUUUUGUGCGCGGUUUGUUGGUGGUGGUUGGUUGUUGUUUGUUUUUAAUCCUCUUAGGCUGUGUGGAUCGCAGGAUAUGUACGGCCUCGAGUGUUGGGAAAAGCUUGUUGUCGACCUCUGGUAGAGUGAGUGAGGGAACGAGCGACGCAACGAGCUCUGCCUGGAUGGAACAGCAGCAGCCAGCGCCCACUCCGGCCUGCCCCGCCGGCUGGAGGGGCACGCGAACCCCACGCCGAAAGAAUACAUGCACACGCACACACACACACACACGCACUCCACGUACGCACACGCGGGGGGAGGUGGAGAGGGAGGGUGACGUCACUCCGGCCCGGGGCGCAUCCCGGCGGGCAGCGGGCGGGGCAGGGCUGGGCCGCGCUGCUUCUGGCUGUCCGGACCCUCCGACUUCGGCAAGUCGUGAUGCUCGUCGUCUCCCUCCCUCAAAACUUCCCUCGCUCUUUAUCUUGACCAUUGUUGUGGUAUUUGCCUCUGAGAAAAAUUUCAAAUCUAAUUCUGAAUGGUAAGUAACAAUCUCUUCUUGUGACGUUUGGAUUGUUUUUCUCAGGGAGCAUUUUCUUCACAAUUAUUGCAUGC
RNAcentral lists this long non-coding RNA (1442 nucleotides) under Chrysolophus pictus (golden pheasant). Its description in RNAcentral is "lncRNA (ENSCPIG00010004481.1)". Lineage: Eukaryota; Metazoa; Chordata; Aves; Galliformes; Phasianidae. The record is from RNAcentral.